CUCUUUCUAGGGCAGGGUCAUCCAGUGGCUGCCAUAAUCAUCAGAUCCCUCCUAUUGGCCAAGUUUGAACCGCAGCUGACCUGGAAGCAGCCUUGACUUCCUGGUAUGGGAACCAUGGAUGGUAAAACCUUAACCGAGAGCUUGAUUUCAGUGCAAAUUUUGGGAGAUUAAUUAGACUGAAUUGUGUGUUGUGGCCACCUCCACAGAUCAUCAACAGUGAUGAAUGUCAGUGUCCUUACUUUGGCAUGGGAUGCCUACUGG
Spea bombifrons (plains spadefoot toad) is the source of this 261-nucleotide long non-coding RNA. RefSeq lists it as uncharacterized. Lineage: Eukaryota; Metazoa; Chordata; Amphibia; Anura; Pelobatidae. The record is from RefSeq and is a predicted model, not a curated record. The transcript has 3 exons.